This 468-nucleotide ribosomal RNA is filed under the name uncultured bacterium. RNAcentral describes it as "partial 16S ribosomal RNA". It matches the Rfam family "Bacterial small subunit ribosomal RNA", at positions 28 to 507 of the family's 1533-position model. The record is from RNAcentral.
GACGAACGCUGGCGGCGUGCUUAACACAUGCAAGUCGAACGGAAAGGCCCUGCUUUUGUGGGGUGCUCGAGUGGCGAACGGGUGAGUAACACGUGAGUAACCUGCCCUUGACUUUGGGAUAACUUCAGGAAACUGGGGCUAAUACCGGAUAGGAGCUCCUGCUGCAUGGUGGGGGUUGGAAAGUUUCGGCGGUUGGGGAUGGACUCGCGGCUUAUCAGCUUGUUGGUGGGGUAGUGGCUUACCAAGGCUUUGACGGGUAGCCGGCCUGAGAGGGUGACCGGCCACAUUGGGACUGAGAGACGGCCCAGACUCCUACGGGAGGCAGCAGUGGGGAAUAUUGCACAAUGGGCGGAAGCCUGAGGCAGCAACGCCGCGUGCGGGAUGACGGCCUUCGGGUUGUAAACCGCUUUCGCCUGGGACGAAGCGUGAGUGACGGUAAUGGGUAAAGAAGCACCGGCUAACUACGUG